RNAcentral lists this ribosomal RNA (19 nucleotides) under Silene damboldtiana. RNAcentral describes it as "partial 26S ribosomal RNA". The record is from RNAcentral. Lineage: Eukaryota; Viridiplantae; Streptophyta; Magnoliopsida; Caryophyllales; Caryophyllaceae.
CCCCAGGUCAGGCGGGGCU